AUGAGGUUCCCUGCUCAGCUCCUGGAGCUCCUCCUGCUCUGGGUCCCAGGAUCCAGUGGGGACAUUGUGCUGACCCAGACUCCACUCUCCCUGUCUGUCUUCCCUGGAGAGACGGCGUCCAUCUCCUGCAGAGCCAGUCAGAGCCUCGAAGAUAGUUAUGGAGACACUUAUUUGAGUUGGCACUUGCAGAAGCCUAGCCAGUCUCCACAGCUUCUGAUCUAUUUGGUUUCCAAUAGAGCCUCUGGGGUCCUGGACAGGUUCACUGGCAGUGGGUCAGGGACAGAUUUCACCUUUAAAAUCAGCAGAGUGGAGGCUGAGGAUGCUGGAGUUUAUUACUGCCAGCAGAGUAUACAAGCACCUCCCACAGUGGUACAGCCCUGA
This is a non-coding RNA of Bubalus bubalis (water buffalo), 381 nucleotides long. The record is from the annotation of a RefSeq genome assembly. Lineage: Eukaryota; Metazoa; Chordata; Mammalia; Artiodactyla; Bovidae.